Molecule: ribosomal RNA, 114 nt
Filed under: Acanthosepion pharaonis
Lineage: Eukaryota; Metazoa; Mollusca; Cephalopoda; Sepiida; Sepiidae
Source: RNAcentral
UUACGGCCACAUCACGUUGAAAUACCGGUUCUCGUACGAACACCGAGGUUAAGCACCAUCAAGCCUGGUCAGUACCUAGAUGGCUGACCACUUACGAAUAUCAGGUGCUGUAAG